Molecule: non-coding RNA, 1076 nt
Organism: Fukomys damarensis (Damara mole-rat)
Lineage: Eukaryota; Metazoa; Chordata; Mammalia; Rodentia; Bathyergidae
Source: the annotation of a RefSeq genome assembly
CCACAAAGGCCCCUUCCGUCUUCCCUCUGGCUUCCGGAUGUGUGGACACUGGCUCCAUGAUGACUCUGGGCUGCCUGGUCAAGGGCUACUUCCCCGAGCCUGUGACCGUGACAUGGAACUCAGGGUCCCUGACCAGCGGAGUGCACACUUUCCCAGCCAGUCUACAGUCGGACCUAUACUCACUCACCAGCAUGGUAACUCUGCCCUCCGGCCAGAAGAGGGCCACCUGCAAUGUAGCCCACCCGGCCAGCAGCACCAAGGUGGACAAGAUUGUUGAUGGUGGGGAUACCAGCAACUCCCACUGUACCCCCUGUCCCGUGUGCCCAACUAUUGAACUCUUGGGAGGACCAUCUGUCUUCAUCUUUCCCCCAAAGCCCAAGGACACACUCAUGAUCUCCCUGACCCCCAAGAUCACGUGUGUUGUAGUAGAUGUGAGCCAGGAAGAUUCUGAGGUUCAGUUCACCUGGUACGUGGAUGACACGCAGGUGAACACAGCUGAGCCACAGUCCCGGGAAGAGCAGUUCAAUGGCACAUUUCGCAUGGUCAGUGUCCUCCCAAUCCUGCAUCAGGACUGGCUGAAUGGCAAAGAGUUCACAUGCAAGGUCAACAGCAAAGUCCUCCCAGCCCCUAUCCAGAAGACGAUCUCCAAAGUCAAAGGGAAUCCCAAGGAGCCACAGGUGUAUGUCUUGCCCCCACCCCAAGAGGAGCUGUCCAAAGAAAAAGUCAGUUUGACCUGCCUGGUCAAGGGCUUCUACCCUACUGACAUCGAUGUGGAGUGGCACACCGACACACCUUCAGACUACAAGGUCACCCCGCCUGUGUUGGACACUGAUGGGACCUACUUCCUCUACAGCAAGCUCACUGCAAACAAGAGUGAAUGGGAGCAGGGAAGAUCCUUUACUUGCUCUGUGGUACAUGAAGCCCUGCACAACCACAUCACGCAGAAGGCCAUCUCCCGGUCUCCGGGUAAAUGAGUGCUGUGCGGUCAUCCCUCUCUAACCUUCAGGCUCUUGAGUCCUAAAGGACCCUGUCCCCCAACACCCUUGUAAAUAAAGCACCCAGCACUGCCUGGGACC